Molecule: ribosomal RNA, 457 nt
Filed under: uncultured bacterium
Lineage: Bacteria
Description: bacterial SSU rRNA
Rfam family: Bacterial small subunit ribosomal RNA
Source: RNAcentral
AGGCAGCAGUGGGGGAAUAUUGCACAAUGGGCGCAAGCCUGAUGCAGCCAUGCCGCGUGUAUGAAGAAGGCCUUCGGGUUGUAAAGUACUUUCAGCAGUGAGGAAGGGGGUGUCGUUAAUAGCGGCAUUCUUGACGUUAGCUGCAGAAGAAGCACCGGCUAACUCCGUGCCAGCAGCCGCGGUAAUACGGAGGGUGCGAGCGUUAAUCGGAAUUACUGGGCGUAAAGCGCAUGCAGGUGGUUUGUUAAGUCAGAUGUGAAAGCCCCGGGGCUCAACCUCGGAACUGCAUUUGAAACUGGCAAACUAGAGUACUGUAGAGGGGGUAGAAUUUCAGGUGUAGCGGUGAAAUGCGUAGAGAUCUGAAGGAAUACCAGUGGCGAAGGCGGCCCCCCUGGACAGAUACUGACACUCAGAUGCGAAAGCGUGGGGAGCAAACAGGAUUAGACUACCCUGGUAG